RNAcentral lists this ribosomal RNA (497 nucleotides) under uncultured bacterium. RNAcentral describes it as "partial 16S ribosomal RNA". It matches the Rfam family "Bacterial small subunit ribosomal RNA", at positions 28 to 507 of the family's 1533-position model. The record is from RNAcentral.
GAUGAACGCUGGCGGCGUGCCUAAUACAUGCAAGUCGAGCGAACAGACGAGGAGCUUGCUCCUCUGACGUUAGCGGCGGACGGGUGAGUAACACGUGGAUAACCUACCUAUAAGACUGGGAUAACUUCGGGAAACCGGAGCUAAUACCGGAUAAUAUAUUGAACCGCAUGGUCCAAUAGUGAAAGGCGGUUUUGCUGUCACUUAUAGAUGGAUCCGCGCCGCAUUAGCUAGUUGGUAAGGUAACGGCUUACCAAGGCAACGAUGCGUAGCCGACCUGAGAGGGUGAUCGGCCACACUGGAACUGAGACACGGUCCAGACUCCUACGGGAGGCAGCAGUAGGGAAUCUUCCGCAAUGGGCGAAAGCCUGACGGAGCAACGCCGCGUGAGUGAUGAAGGUCUUCGGAUCGUAAAACUCUGUUAUUAGGGAAGAACAAAUGUGUAAGUAACUAUGCACGUCUUGACGGUACCUAAUCAGAAAGCCACGGCUAACUACGUG